RNAcentral lists this ribosomal RNA (325 nucleotides) under uncultured eukaryote. Its description in RNAcentral is "partial 18S ribosomal RNA". It matches the Rfam family "Eukaryotic small subunit ribosomal RNA", at positions 1470 to 1796 of the family's 1831-position model. The record is from RNAcentral.
CCCUUAGAUGUUCUGGGCCGCACGCGCGCUACACUGACUGCUCCAACAAGUUACCUGGGCUGACAAGCAUCCGGGAAAUCUUGCAAAGGCAGUCGUGAUGGGGAUAGAUUCUUGUAAUUUUUGAUCUUCAACGAGGAAUUCCUAGUAAACGCAAGUCAUCAGCUUGCAUUGAUUACGUCCCUGCCCUUUGUACACACCGCCCGUCACAUCUACCGAUUGAAUGGAGAGGCAAAAUCUUCGGACCGUGACGCUUGGGAGUCAAAUCUCGGGCUGUCGUGGGAAGUGGAUUAAACCUUUCUAUUUAGAGGAAGGUAAAGUCGUAACA